RNAcentral lists this ribosomal RNA (496 nucleotides) under uncultured bacterium. RNAcentral describes it as "partial 16S ribosomal RNA". It matches the Rfam family "Bacterial small subunit ribosomal RNA", at positions 28 to 506 of the family's 1533-position model. The record is from RNAcentral.
GAUGAACGCUGGCGGCGUGCCUAAUACAUGCCAGUCGAGCGAACAGACGAGGAGCUUGCUCCUCUGACGUUAGCGGCGGACGGGUGAGUAACACGUGGAUAACCUACCUAUAAGACUGGGAUAACUUCGGGAAACCGGAGCUAAUACCGGAUAACAUGUUGAACCGCAUGGUUCAACAGUGAAAGACGGUCUUGCUGUCACUUAUAGAUGGAUCCGCGCCGCAUUAGCUAGUUGGUAAGGUAACGGCUUACCAAGGCAACGAUGCGUAGCCGACCUGAGAGGGUAAUCGGCCACACUGGAACUGAGACACGGUCCAGACUCCUACGGGAGGCAGCAGUAGGGAAUCUUCCGCAAUGGGCGAAAGCCUGACGGAGCAACGCCGCGUGAGUGAAGAAGGUCUUCGGAUCGUAAAACUCUGUUAUUAGGGAAGAACAAAUGUGUAAGUAACUAUGCACGUCUUGACGGUACCGAAGCAGAAAGCCACGGCUAACUACGU